AAGUCGUAACAAGGUUUCCGUAGGUGAACCUGCGGAAGGAUCAUUAAUGAGUAAGGGUCUUCGGGCCCGACCUCCAACCCUUUGUAGUUGAAAAACCCUUGUUGCUUUGGCGGGACCGUCCCGGAACUCCCAUCUCUUCUGAUGGGGGGAGGGGCAGGCCGGCUCUCGGACGUCGAGCUCCGCCACGCAGUCAAACCAAACAUCUUGUUUUAACCAUAUCGUCCGAGUAAAUUGAUAAAUCAAUUAAAA
Molecule: unclassified non-coding RNA, 249 nt
Filed under: plant metagenome
Description: partial contains small subunit ribosomal RNA and internal transcribed spacer 1
Rfam family: Eukaryotic small subunit ribosomal RNA (bases 1-46)
Source: RNAcentral